RNAcentral lists this long non-coding RNA (2385 nucleotides) under Homo sapiens (human). RNAcentral's name for it is "HSALNT0324264". The record is from RNAcentral. Lineage: Eukaryota; Metazoa; Chordata; Mammalia; Primates; Hominidae.
CAUUUACUUGUGCUUUUAUUUACUUAAUCUCUGUCUGUCCCGCGAGAUUAUAAACUGCAGGACGGCAGAGAUCAUUUCUGUUUUGUUUUGACCCUGCUUCCAGGGCUCAGUAUCGUACCUGGGCUGUGGAGGAUACAGAAAUGCCGAAUGAACAAAUGAACGGAUGACUGGGCCACAUGGGUCCCAGGUGAAUGAAUUCUAUCUGCCCCUUAAGGCCAUCCCUUGAUUCAAUCCGACAAACAUUUCUUCAACCUGAACUAACCCAAGAAGAUCCGCAUCAAGGGUCAGAUUACUAAAGCACUGCCCACCUUCUGGGUGGGUGAACGUGAGGGAACAAAUAGUGAUGUUCCAGUGUGAUUUGCCCACGCCCGGGGGGCAAGGGGAGCAGAGGGAACAAAUGAACCGUCCCGCGCCUCACCAAGGGGCCACACGCGAGCUAAGUGGCUGAAGAGGAGUUCGCCUGCCUGGGAAGCCAGGGACAGGACUUCCAGGUGGAGGAAGUGGCAGCUGUGACUGAGAGGUGGAGUGGCACAGAAGCCUGUGUUGUGGCAGGAAGCAGAGGCGAGGUGGACAGGGUGGAAGGGUCACUGUUUGUCAAACACCUUGUUUUUCGUGAUGUUCUUUACAUUGGGCCUAAGUCCACUGUGAAGAAAAGAAGAAUGGUUUUGAUUUUCUCGGUUGCGAUGACCUAGCUGGCUCAAGACUUCCUCACUCGGUGGCUAUAGACUAUCUUCACCUGAAACUCCUACAAAGUGAAACAUCCCAGGUCACUCCAGGAAGUCUUUCUGCGGUUAAACAAGCUGGCCUGAAAGCAUUUAAAGUCCAUGGCUUACCAAGCCAAACAAGAACUCCAUUCAAGCAAAAUCUAAGUGGAGAAGCAUCGUUUCAGUCAGCCACAUUUUAAUCAGCGACACCUCAUGAAAUGUGGACUCAGACAAAAUAUUUUAAAAUUCAUUUUGCCACAUCAAUGCAUUUAUAUCAUAAGCAAUAUCCCUCAGAGGUCAUGUGCUCUGCAGAAGUAGGGGGAUUUUCUCCACAGUUUUUCUUCAUAUUGAGGACUUGGUGGAAAUGUUUUCACUCAGAGUGGCCCCUCAGGCACCCUCACCUAGCUGAGGUGCCUAUGCUCAUCGACCACUACUACCUGUUCUUCAAGCUACCCUGGUCUACGAUCACCACAAAUCCAGGACCUGAGCAGAGCCUAUCAGCAUGUCAUGGAAAUCUUUCUGGAGUUUUCUUAUAAAUCUUUUCUUUUUUCUUUGCCCUGUGCAUUAUUCAUAAACAAGUCAUCCUAGUCUCUAAACAGAACAAGUUGGUCCUGUGAGCUACUGAGGAUAUGCGAAUGUACUGCAAGACACACUUCACAAUGUGUGAAAUUAUGAUUACCUUGCAAAAUCAGGACCAUCAAUAUAUACUGUUUUUUCUCUUUUUUCACCUAAUUCACUGGGUCAGUAGGAAAAAAAUGGAAGGAUAAGAGGCCAAUGAAAUCACACUAAUUUAUUCAACAAAUGUUUUUCCUGACUUCUGUGAUGUAUAGGGCACUGUAGUCAGGUGAAAUAACAGUAAAAUGGGAAUCAGAAGACAGGAUUUACUAUAAAAUUGAUCCCUAAUUAUGUGACCAUGAGCAAAUUCCUGACUUUAUGUCCCUCGGUUCUUUUAUUUGUAGAUUGGGAGUGAUUUAAGCAUCUGCCCACUCACAAACUAUUAUGAGGAUCAAAUGAAUCUUUUUACUUGUGAGAUAAAGGACAAUGCAAGUGACAUGCAGUGGUUUUCCUUCUCCACUGCUACCACUGUACCCCACCCCUGACUACGUCAUCAUCAUCAUCACCAUCACCACCAUCAUCACCACCAUCACCAUCAUCAUCAUCACCAUCAUCAUCACCAUCAUCACCAUCAUCAUCACCAUCAUCGCCAUCAUCAUCACCAUCAUCAUCAUCAUCACCAUUGCCAUCAUCAUCAUCACCAUCAUCACCAUCAUCAGAAUCACCAUCAUCAUCAUCAUCACCAUCAUCACCAUCAUCACCAUCAUCAUCAUCACCAUCACCACCAUCAUCAUCACCAUCAUCACCAUCAUCACCAUCAUCAUCACCAUCAUCAUCAUCACCAUCAUCACCAUCAUCACCAUCAUCAUCAUCAUCAUCAUCAUCAUCAUCAUCAUCAUCAUCAUCAUCAUCAUCAUCAUCAUCAUCAUCAUCAUCAUCAUCAUCAUCAUCAUCAUCACCAUCAUCAUCAUCACCAUCAUCAUCAUCAUCAUCAUCAUCAUCAUCAUCAUCAUCAUCAUCAUCAUCAUCAUCAUCAUCAUCAUCAUCAUCAUCAUCAUCAUCAUCAUCAUCAUCAUCAUCAUCAUCAUCAUCAUCAUCAUCAUCAUCAUCAUCAUCAUCAUCAUCA